Molecule: long non-coding RNA, 301 nt
Filed under: Manihot esculenta (cassava)
Lineage: Eukaryota; Viridiplantae; Streptophyta; Magnoliopsida; Malpighiales; Euphorbiaceae
Description: long non-coding RNA (MESC_LNC012101)
Source: RNAcentral
GACAGAAAACUGAAACUGGACAGACUUGCAGAAAGCAAUCGGGGCAGAUAGACCAAGCGAUCUGCCCAAAUCACUGCCCCAAUCACAUUGACAGCAGAAUUGACAGCAGAAGCGGGAAAAGAGCAGAAAAUCCAAAUUCAAAGAAAAGAAGUCCAAGUCCACUUCAAACACCACAAGAUCAGUCCCAAGAGCCACGCCCUUCACUUAGAGAGUUCCAUUCUCAAUCAAAUACAAAGUCCAAAGAGGAAUCAAAGACUACAAAGAAGACCAAAUCAAAUUGAGAUUUCAAAACCCUAAUCAA